RNAcentral lists this ribosomal RNA (404 nucleotides) under uncultured Anaerotruncus sp. Its description in RNAcentral is "bacterial SSU rRNA". It matches the Rfam family "Bacterial small subunit ribosomal RNA", at positions 355 to 773 of the family's 1533-position model. The record is from RNAcentral. Lineage: Bacteria; Bacillati; Bacillota; Clostridia; Eubacteriales; Oscillospiraceae.
UGGGGGAUAUUGCACAAUGGAGGAAACUCUGAUGCAGCAACGCCGCGUGAGGGAAGACGGUCUUCGGAUUGUAAACCUAAGUUAUCAGGGACGAACAAGAUGACGGUACCUGAAGAGAAAGCUCCGGCUAACUACGUGCCAGCAGCCGCGGUAAUACGUAGGGAGCGAGCGUUGUCCGGAUUUACUGGGUGUAAAGGGUGCGUAGGCGGGUCGGCAAGUCAGGCGUGAAAUCCCGCGGCUUAACUGCGGGGCUGCGCUUGAAACUGUCGAUCUUGAGUGAAGUAGAGGCAAGCGGAAUUCCUAGUGUAGCGGUGAAAUGCGUAGAUAUUAGGAGGAACACCAGUGGCGAAGGCGGCUUGCUGGGCUUUAACUGACGCUGAGGCACGAAAGCAUGGGGAGCAAAC